GACGUAGGGCGCGAGCGUUGUCCGGAUUUAUUGGGCGUAAAGAGCUCGUAGGCGGCUUGUCACGUCGGGUGUGAAAGCCCGGGGCUUAACCCCGGGUCUGCAUUCGAUACGGGCUAGCUAGAGUGUGGUAGGGGAGAUCGGAAUUCCUGGUGUAGCGGUGAAAUGCGCAGAUAUCAGGAGGAACACCGGUGGCGAAGGCGGAUCUCUGGGCCAUUACUGACGCUGAGGAGCGAAAGCGUGGGGAGCGAACAGG
RNAcentral lists this ribosomal RNA (253 nucleotides) under uncultured bacterium. RNAcentral's name for it is "partial 16S ribosomal RNA". It matches the Rfam family "Bacterial small subunit ribosomal RNA", at positions 524 to 776 of the family's 1533-position model. The record is from RNAcentral.